Non-coding RNA from Chlorocebus sabaeus (green monkey), 299 nucleotides. The record is from RefSeq and is a predicted model, not a curated record. Lineage: Eukaryota; Metazoa; Chordata; Mammalia; Primates; Cercopithecidae.
CACCCUUUUUUUUUUUUUGUCACAGCCCUCCUAAAAAGGUCUUGACACCCUAAGGGUACCCAGCCCACAUUUUGAGAACCAUUAAUCUAAACUACAUUGGAAAGCAAGAUACCUUUUGGGCAAAGGUCUAAUUUGCACAACUGACUGACUUUUCCUGGACUUAGAUUUCAAAAUAAUAAUCCAGAAUAACAUUCCUCACCAAGAGUCUUUGAAAAGAAGCCCCAGCAAGACAAGACAUCACACUUACUCCUUUAAAAAAAAAAAAAAAAAAAAUGAAGCCGGGCGUGGUGGCUUACGCC